UUUUACUUAGUAUAAAAUAGUACACUUAGCUUCCAACUAAAAGGUUUAAAAUAAAGUAAACA
Molecule: transfer RNA, 62 nt
Filed under: Opiliones sp. MT-2014
Lineage: Eukaryota; Metazoa; Arthropoda; Arachnida; Opiliones
Description: tRNA-Gly
Source: RNAcentral